Molecule: long non-coding RNA, 668 nt
Filed under: Actinia tenebrosa (Australian red waratah sea anemone)
Lineage: Eukaryota; Metazoa; Cnidaria; Anthozoa; Actiniaria; Actiniidae
Description: uncharacterized LOC116298787, transcript variant X1
Source: RNAcentral
AUAGCGUGGAAUGUCUUUGUGUUUUGUCGUUGGCUAAUCAAAGCUCUCUCAGUUGCUGUAACCACAUUCAUUUGGCAAUUACAAGAACGCGGCAAUACACCUCAACAUCUACAGAAAGAAGUCCUAAGGAACUCAAAAAGAAUCAAUCUAAAGAUUAUCAAAGAUGUACAUCGAGUGGUUACCUUUGUUUCUACUCGUCGGUGUUGUGACUAUAGCCUUGGUUAUACCAGAGACAGAAUGCUUNUUCAGCUUACCAGAAGGCGCAAAAAUUAGCGGCAAAAGAAAGAAGGAAAUUCCAAUCGAAAAAAGAAUUUCAAGAGAUUGUCGCGAGAACGACUGGGUUUGUAAACGCUUCAAGAGAACUAGAAGUGAAGAGCGAAGACAUUUUAUGGACAUAUACCCUGGGAAUUACGAAAAUGUUUAGAUUACUAAUCGUACAGAGAGAACUGCAGACAACAAGAAAUGCUUGGCAGUAACUGCUAGUGAGAGAUGCCUCACAAGAAAUAUUAAGAACAAAACUAAUAAUAUUAACUAGAUGAAACAAGUGAAAUGAUUUUACACUAUUUUACGCGUUGAAUAUGUAUUCUUUGCACGCAUUAAGAAUAAAAUGCUAGGCAGUAGUUGCUAGUGAGAUAUUGCUGACAAGAAAUAUUAAAAGCAAAACCAAU